GUGCAUUCACGCAAACUUGCUUAAAAUGACAGGUGGGCUUGGUGUUUUCCAUCAAUUAAGUAAAAUGCCGAAAAAAUCCAUGUGGAUCCCCACAUUUAUCAGGAUUCAUACCCUGCUGCUUCUUUGGCCUAUGCCCCAGCCCUCCACGGAGCUUUUAGUGGAAAUCUAUUGAGCAAGCCUUCUAAAAAACAAAUCCUUGUUGGCCGAGGUAACCAUUGACGGACUGCAUUUCUGAUCUGAUGUCUCAGCCACAACAGCCGUCGUGGCGGCAAUCCGCGAAGCCGUUGGUGGACACCAGCAGUGAGGGAUGCCGUCAAGCUGAAGGAGUCCUGUUGGGCCUUUUUGGCCUGUGGGACUCAUGAGGCAGCCGAUGGGUACCGGCCGGCCAAGCGGAAUGCAGCUUUGGUGGUUGCUGAGGCAAAAAGUCGGACGUGGGAGGAGUUCGAUCCGGAGAGGGGAACAUGCACGGGACUCCCAUGGUCGAUGCAGUUUCGAAAGCGACCCGAUUCCCAGAGCCUCGUGUUGGAAAUCCUGGCUGCUCCUCCUAAAUGCUGCAUCGAGCCUGACUAAUCAACCACCGGAAGAUUCUUGCAAAUAAACCUGUAUGUGCGUUUAAGGAUCACCUGUCUGACUGUGCACAAUAAGCAAAAGCAUUUUCAGUAGUUCUUAGUUCUCGCAACUGCAUCUAUUUUUACUCUCUUGCGUGUGUUUUUCAUCCAUGUUCAAAGAGUGUCCGUCUGACGGGGUCAAGGGCCGGCUUUUCUAGCGCUUGAUAGUGUCAGGGAGUGGGUCUGUUGACAUACUUAAGUCAGGGAAUCAACACGGUAAACGGUCGCUCAGCGUCCAGGCAACGCAUGAAAAAGUCAACAGACUCCCUCUCUUUUUAUUGUAACACAUUCUGGAAAGACUUCUAUGACUUUUGUUGAAAGAAAACUAAUGGAAAAGCCAGAAGGCUUCUGCACUGGAUCGCGCUCAGAGUGGGUAGUGGGUCUGGGACAAAAGUAUUGGGACAGCUAGGCGCUACAACGACAAGCUUGUUAAGAUCCAUGAUGAAAGGAAAACAUGUUUGAACAUUUUAUACAUAUUUUAUGACCAAUGUAUGCAGACAUUGAAGGAAUUCUAAAGAGUUCUCAUACUUUUUUGCUCCGACUGUAUUUUUAGAACAGACCUGCAGGCUACUCAAGUGGUCAUUGCGGGCUACCUUUUGCCGUGGGCGUCGUCUUGGUGACCCCUGAACUAACUAACCAUAAAACUUGUACAGGCAAUGUUGAAAGAAGUAAUAUUUUUAACUGUCAUGUUUGCAAAACACUCUCCCGUUUACUGCAUCCAAAAGCGAAAUACUGUGAGUGAUUAGAAGUGCAACUUCACAGUUCUGGGGUUUACAGUUUGAGUCUCGGCUCCGACCUCCCUGUUUGAACUUUGUAUGUUCUCCUGACACAUUUUAGAAUACUUUUUUUUGCGUGACUUUUUCCUCCUAAAAUGUUGUUGGAGUACCAAACUUUACAACCGGCAUUGGCAUGCUUCUGCGUCAAAGGCCAGUGGAGGACUUGAGGUUUCUGGGCAGAACUUCCUCCAGUUCCAGUGUAUGUUUUUGUAAUGUUAAAUGUCUCCCAACACUCCUCGCUGUCUGCACGACAGCC
Phyllopteryx taeniolatus (common seadragon) is the source of this 1640-nucleotide long non-coding RNA. RefSeq lists it as uncharacterized. Lineage: Eukaryota; Metazoa; Chordata; Actinopteri; Syngnathiformes; Syngnathidae. The transcript is spliced from 3 exons. The record is from RefSeq and is a predicted model, not a curated record.